UCCAAACACAAGGUGAGCCCUACCAUGCUGGCUUCUUGUAGUUCUACUUCUAAACGUUCGCAGGUAACUACAGCUCUCAAAGCAGCCAACAAGUACCAGCUGUAGUAUCCUUCAUUCACAGUAGUUAUCCGGUCGCAUAAUCUAUUGAAGUGACAUGCGACUGUCCCAAGCAGGAUUUUAAAGGGACACGUCAAUGGAGGAAUGCAAACCGCAUCUCUUAGAUAGUUGGAUGGAUCAUGGCCAGUGAAGCUCAUGUACUACCCACAACAUGGCCAGGGAAAGCUCUCUGCCGGUUGGGCUGCAUUUCAGAGAGGAACUUCUCAGAAGGAAGGAGUUGUCCAUGCGUUUGAGCUUGCAAGAAUUGAUAAUAUUGAACUCGAAGUCUGCAUUUUCAAAAGGAACGCCAAGUCUUGGGUGUAAACUUCGGUUUGUCUACAGAAAAAUCUUUGCUUCACUAUGUUUUGUUUUUUGUUAGUCAGAUGAAAGAAAGAAAGACUUUUUGCUGCAAGUAAUUGAAUGGUGAUGUAUUUCCUGAUGUUUUUUCGGAGAAUAGUGAACAUUACACCUGGA
This is a long non-coding RNA of Syzygium oleosum, 570 nucleotides long. RefSeq lists it as uncharacterized. The transcript has 2 exons. Lineage: Eukaryota; Viridiplantae; Streptophyta; Magnoliopsida; Myrtales; Myrtaceae. The record is from RefSeq and is a predicted model, not a curated record.